CCAGCGCACACCGGUGACUUCAUCGGGGGCCUCAGCGGAGACGUGGUUUGCUCGACCCCAGAGGGCACAACGGUGCAACGCACUUAGACAGUGGAGAAGCAGCUGCGGACAACGGUGGGGAACGGGUCCCGUGGAUAGGGCGACGGUGCAGAACCGGACCCUUGGAUAAGAUACACCGAAGAUUCACAGCCUCUUCUUCUGGAUACCCCGGUCCACUCCCUGCAACCUGAUGACUCCGUUCUCAUGCGGACCUGGAAGGACGAGCCCCUCCAAGAGAAGUGGGAAGGGACCCCACAUCAUCCUGCUUGUUUCCCACACAGCGGCAAAGGUCAAAGGACACAAGAACUGGUUUCAUCACUCUCUACUGAAAGCAGUACCCGCUCCUGAACAGUGGACUGUCCAGCCUGCU
This is a long non-coding RNA of Trachemys scripta elegans, 409 nucleotides long. RefSeq lists it as uncharacterized. The transcript is spliced from 2 exons. The record is from RefSeq and is a predicted model, not a curated record. NCBI's taxonomy places the organism in Eukaryota, Metazoa, Chordata, Testudines, Emydidae.